GAUGAAGAACGUAGCGAAAUGCGAUACUUGGUGUGAAUUGCAGAAUCCCGUGAACCAUCGAGUCUUUGAACGCAAGUUGCGCCCGAAGCCAUUAGGCCGAGGGCACGCCUGCCUGGGCGUCACACGUCGUUGCCCCCCCAUCUACUCCUUCGGGAUUGCGGGGGGCGGAUGAUGGCCUCCCGUGCGCCUCGUCGCGCGGUUGGCAUAAAUGCCAAGUCCUCGGCGACGCACGCCACGACAAUCGGUGGUUGCGAAACCUCGGUUGCCCGUCGUGUGCGGUCGUCGCGCAUCGAGGGCUCGAAAAAAUUGCCGGGCUCCGGCUCGGCUUUCAACGCGACCCCAGGUCAGGCGGGGUUACCCGCUGAAUUUAAGCAUAUCAAUAAGCGGACGA
RNAcentral lists this unclassified non-coding RNA (391 nucleotides) under soil metagenome. RNAcentral describes it as "partial contains 5.8S ribosomal RNA, internal transcribed spacer 2, and large subunit ribosomal RNA". The stretch from base 1 to 122 matches the Rfam family "5.8S ribosomal RNA", at positions 35 to 154 of the family's 154-position model. The record is from RNAcentral.